Molecule: long non-coding RNA, 519 nt
Filed under: Equus caballus (horse)
Lineage: Eukaryota; Metazoa; Chordata; Mammalia; Perissodactyla; Equidae
Description: lncRNA (ENSECAG00000028912.2)
Source: RNAcentral
GAAUCUUGCCUCUGGGACUGCAUCUUCCUGGAGGGGAGGUCUAUUAAGAAUUAACACUAAUGUUUCCUUAUAGCCACGAAGAGGCCCUGGGAUUGACAUUCUAAGUAUUGGAUGCAGUACUUGCAAAGCCAUGGAAGAGUGGAAUAUCAUGACAUAGCUUGUAUAGCAUGCAGUGGAGCUCGUGGAGUUGCCAAAAUGCCAUCACCUGUGCUUUAGGAAGAGCCCUGGUGGCUACAUGAAAGAUGGAUGGAUUGAUGCCGGAGGAGAUGAGACUGGAGUCGAAUUCACUCUAAUGUCAUUCUGGGGCAAAUUUAAGUUACUAACUGAAAUAAACGGGAAGAUCAGACAAUGAAGUAAAGCAGCAUAUUAAGUAGGUUGGAAAAGAUUUCCAUAAGACUUCGCAAAACGGCAUCUGGUAAAUCCAUUCUUGAAUACAAGUGAAGUAAUGAAGAUGCUUAUUGUGGCUUCCUGUUAAUAUUCCAAGGCCUGAGGGUCUGAACAGCAGGAUGUCUGUUCUCC